This 63-nucleotide transfer RNA is filed under the name Aneurus sublobatus. Its description in RNAcentral is "tRNA-Glu". Lineage: Eukaryota; Metazoa; Arthropoda; Insecta; Hemiptera; Aradidae. The record is from RNAcentral.
AUUUAUAUAGUUUAUAUAAAACAUAUCAUUUUCAAUGAUAAAAUAAGAUUAUCUUUAUAAAUU